GUGCUCUUUUCUGCAACAUAUACACUAAAUUGGAAUGAUCCAGGAAAAAUUAGCAUAGUUCUUGUGUAAGGAUGUCAUGCAAAUUCAUGAGGUAGUCCGCAUAUAA
Small nuclear RNA from Dipodomys ordii (Ord's kangaroo rat), 106 nucleotides. Lineage: Eukaryota; Metazoa; Chordata; Mammalia; Rodentia; Heteromyidae. The record is from Ensembl.